RNAcentral lists this ribosomal RNA (325 nucleotides) under uncultured Geothrix sp. RNAcentral describes it as "bacterial SSU rRNA". It matches the Rfam family "Bacterial small subunit ribosomal RNA", at positions 527 to 850 of the family's 1533-position model. Lineage: Bacteria; Pseudomonadati; Acidobacteriota; Holophagae; Holophagales; Holophagaceae. The record is from RNAcentral.
AGAGGGGGCAAGCGUUAUUYGGAAUUAUUGGGCGUAAAGGGCGCGUAGGCGGUUUUUUAAGUCAGAUGUGUAAUCCCCGAGCUUAACUUGGGAACUGCAUYUGAGACUGGAAGGCUAGAGUACUGGAGAGGGUGGUGGAAUUCCUCGUGUAGCGGUGAAAUGCGUAGAGAUGAGGAGGAACACCMGUGGCGAAGGCGGCCMCCUGGACAGUAACUGACGCUGAGGCGCGAAAGYGUGGGUAGCAAACAGGAUUAGAUACCCUGGUAGUCCACGCUGUAAACGAUGAACACUUGGUGUGGAGGGAGUUGACCCCUUCCGUGCCGGA